Cricetulus griseus (Chinese hamster) is the source of this 1503-nucleotide non-coding RNA. Lineage: Eukaryota; Metazoa; Chordata; Mammalia; Rodentia; Cricetidae. The record is from RefSeq and is a predicted model, not a curated record.
ACCCUGGAGGUCCCAGAACUUGAACUUUGAACCUGCUUUCAGAACCCUUGCGGUUUCCAUCAGAAAGCUAAGUCCCACACUGUUACAGAGAAUUCUACAUGGCUCAGAGAUGGAGGGGGGUGGCAAGACAAGUGACCAACCAUGGCCUCUCCACUAAGGUGCCCUGGGUAGGAGAUAGAGGAAGCCAACAGCAGCCUGUGGUUCUCAGGGAGGGGAACCGUGACUCCGAAGAGCCGUAGCAUUGCUCUCUUCCUAUGACUGUCUCCUGCUCUUUCUCACUUUGAAAAAUGUCUGGACACUCCUAAAAGUUUUCAGUCUCUGUCCAGGGGCUUUUUCUAACCACAAAGGGUAAUUCCUACCCCAUCCCUGCUGUGACUCAGAUGUGACGUCUACUGCACAGCCAGAGAGGAGAAGAUAAAGUCACAGAAAGGUCACCUCUCUCUACAGACUCCACAAGGCUUGUCCUCUGCUCUACUUACAGACCUUCUCUGGCCACCUGAAACUUCAAGAUGGCCUCCAGCUCGGCCAGUGGCCCCCGUCCAGCUCCUGAUGAAAAUGAGUUUCCAUUUGGUUGCCCCCCUGCUGCCUGCCAGGACCCAUCAGAGCCCAGGACUCUCUGCUGCUCAGCCUGUCUCUCUGAGAAGCUGAGAGAUGGUGAGGAUCGGAUCUGUUCCAAGUGCAGAGCAGACAGCCUCCAACCUGUGAGCCCAGGAAGCCUUCUGACUCAGGAGAAGCAACCUCCCCUCCUGUGUGUCCUUAGAGAAUAAUAAUGAGGAUCAAGUUAAUUUCCCUGGAAGAACUGCUGAGCCUCCCUGUCUGGCUGUCUCUGGACCAGCUUCCACAUGGGAACAGACAGACACCUUACUGUGUGGCCUCUGUGCCUUACAUGUGCGGCACAGGAAAUGAGCUCUGUGCUUUCCAAGCCUCGUUUUGUUCUUUCCUCUUAGCAAAAUUAAAACAUGCCACUUAUAUAAAUGUUAGGUAAUAUGGGUCAGAUAUACUUCAAUGUCACUUAAUCUAGCAUCUUUAGUUUUUUUCAUCUUCAUCAAGAUAAAACCAAAUACAAACAGAAGGCUUGGGUGGAAGGAGUGCCUGGAGCCGAGUGAGUGACUUGUAUAGUAGUAAGGCCUUUAUUUCUAGCUUUAAGUGACAUGUGUAGUAAGGCCUUCGUGUCUGACUUUGAGAGAAAUGUUUCAGCAAAGCCUUUGCUAUGUUUGGGUUAAUCAGUCAAGGCUGAGAAACUGUUUUGAGACUAUUUAAACCUUGAAGAGUUGUUUCUCUGGAGUGUCUGCACUGGUGUUACAUGAGAGCUUGCAGCUGCACCAACCCUGAUCCUAGGAUGCUCCUGGCAGACCUGAGUUGUUACUUUUGAUUAUCACUGCCAUAGUCAAAAGGGACUUGGAUUUGUGUGGGUUGUCCUCAGCAUAGCAAGAUGACUUUGGUAGUUGGAACCUUGUCUAGCCCCUAUUAACCUUGUAUGUUUGAAUAAAGUAACUAAAGUGA